UGAUAGAUGUGAUAGUAAGUCGCUCUGGAUAAGAGCGUCUGCUAAAUGACUAAAA
Salmo salar (Atlantic salmon) is the source of this 55-nucleotide non-coding RNA. NCBI's taxonomy places the organism in Eukaryota, Metazoa, Chordata, Actinopteri, Salmoniformes, Salmonidae. The record is from Rfam.